Molecule: long non-coding RNA, 1515 nt
Filed under: Equus caballus (horse)
Lineage: Eukaryota; Metazoa; Chordata; Mammalia; Perissodactyla; Equidae
Description: lncRNA (ENSECAG00000054540.1)
Source: RNAcentral
GUGGUAAGCAGCAAAUGAGAGAACGCCUGUGAAAGUAGGGUUGAAACUGCGAGGGGCAACUGGAGUGCUGUGAUUCUAAUAUAAUAGAAUCUUUUCAUUAUAAUAGAAUUUUGCUGUGAUUCGAUGGAAGGACAGCAGUAGGAUGAUGCGAAAGGAAGUAGCUCUCCUCUCAGGCUGUGGUCAGAGUGCCCAGGGCUCGGUCUGCGCUGGGGUGAGACCACUGAGCUGAUUGUCACCAAUUGGGUGAAUGGAGAAGGCUACCCUGCAUCGCAGCCUUGAAGGCAGGCUCAACGUUCCAUAUGUGAACAUCCUGAUGGUCAGCCUUCUCCCAGGAAUUAGAUCUCUGAUGACAUAGGACAAUAGGAAGACUCUUCUUCCCCUUUUGCUUGGCAUCCGGCAAUGCAGUCAUGGAGGAAAGUUCACACGCUGUUUGGAAGUCAUUUCUGUUUAGCUCAUCAAUAGUUGCCUUAUAAAAACGAUUCCAUGCCUAAGAAGCAUUCUAAGCCUUUUUAAGCUCCAAAGAUUAGGGUGAAACAGGGAGGGGGUGGGAGGAAGACAGAUAAACAAAGGACCAGAGAGCAUUCUCUGUGCAGAGGAGUAGAUUCUGUCCUUUGGUUAGAUUAAUCCCCAAAUUGGAACUGGCCCUGAACAUUGUUCUGAGAAAGGAGAGCCCAGAUAAGAAAGGCCCCUCCACAAAGCCCCUGCAUCGAGCUGUUUGUGGAAAUGCGGACAGCGUCCUUUCCCUGCAGCCAGAGGACAGAAUGACAGGCCCGCAGAGGACAAACGGAGGGUGAGAUUUUCCUCAGGACAGUUGGACGAGUGGGAGAGGGAAGAGGAGAAGCAGCAGUGGCCUCGUGGUGGCUGCUCGAAGGUUCUGUCAAACCACCAAGUUGUUUUUCUGUCUCAGCCUGGGCACCACCAACCUGCCUGUUUUCACACUAUUGAAAGCACGAGCAUUGAGUUCUGCAAAGACUGAGGGGCAGCCCAGGUUGGCUUUGCCUCCAGUCCAGGCAGAAGGACAGGUGCAGAGGACCCUAACACCCACCCGUGGGAGCCAACCCCCUCUCUCUCGGCAGGCCUGGUUUCCAACCCCAGGACCACAGCUCUCUCGGGAGAGUUCGGCUUUGGUUCUGAAGGACUCCGAGUUGACGCUUGAAGGCUGGAGAUUGUCAUCAGAGGGGCUAAUGGGACAUGAGAUCUGAGGUGGGUCCCAACAGGAUUAAUGCAGCUUGACUGCCUUAAUGCUCCAAGACAGUUGAGAGCUUCCAAGAUGACCGCGCUCAUUGGCAGGUGUUGGUGACUUAAAAUAAGUCAUGCAGGUUCAUUGUCACCCCCGUAAAGACUGAACUGCAACGUCUGCAGGUUUUUACGUGGCAUCCAGCACAUUCCUUCCAACCUCUUCCCUCUUCCUGGCUGCCAUUCUACCUGUCUUCAUCUUUUGGAAAAAAAUUAAAUGUAUGAUUAUUUUAGAAGAUAUAAAAAUAUCAUAAAUGUUUAUUGAAACCACUGAAAUGC